This 519-nucleotide ribosomal RNA is filed under the name uncultured eukaryote. RNAcentral's name for it is "bacterial SSU rRNA". It matches the Rfam family "Eukaryotic small subunit ribosomal RNA", at positions 1161 to 1703 of the family's 1831-position model. The record is from RNAcentral.
AGGGCACCACCAGGAGUGGAGCCUGCGGCUUAAUUUGACUCAACACGGGAAAACUUACCUGGUCCUGACACUAGAAGGAUUGACAGAUUGAUAGCUCUUUCUUGAUUUGGUGGAUGGUGGUGCAUGGCCGUUCUUAGUUGGUGGAGUGAUUUGUCUGGUUAAUUCCGAUAACGAACGAGACUCUAGCCUAUUAAAUAACACACAGAAUCUUGUCUUCUGUGGCGUUUCUUAAUGGGAUCAAGUGUGUUUAACGCUUUGAAACAGAGCAAUAACAGGUCUGUGAUGCCCUUAGAUGUCCGGGGCUGCACGCGCGCUACACUGAAAGAAUCAGCGUGCGAUUAGCCUGGUUCGGAAGAAUCGGGUAACCCAAGUAAAUUCUUUCGUGCUUGGGAUAGGGAAUUGCAAUUAUUUCCCUUAAACGAGGAAUUCCCAGUAAAUGCGGGUCAUAAGCUCGCGUUGAUUACGUCCCUGCCCUUUGUACACACCGCCCGUCGCUACUACCGAUUGGAUGACUUAGUG